Astatotilapia calliptera (eastern happy) is the source of this 2123-nucleotide long non-coding RNA. NCBI's taxonomy places the organism in Eukaryota, Metazoa, Chordata, Actinopteri, Cichliformes, Cichlidae. The record is from Ensembl.
GUCAGUAGAAAUGUUGAAUAUCAUUUGUGAUAAGAAAAGUAGUCUGCUUAAAAAGUCCUGUAGAAAAUACAUGAUAGAAUGCCGCGACGUGAUGCAUCAAAUGUUACCGCUAUGGACAAAAGGAGGGUAAAUAAUGACAAAGUCGCCGAUUUCUUUAAGAAUCUAAAGAAAUUCCUGCUAACAAUGUCCAGAGACAAAAUUGACUUAAAUGCAGUAACUAUGUGUAAACAGAAGCCUGAUGAAUCCAUCCUAGUAUUCAUAAAACGCUUUAUGCACUGUUGGACAAGCUAGAGGUGCAAAUUUAGCUCAGUUUUCCAGCAGCCGCAGACACCCAAAGCAAAAAUGAAUUUGUGUAUUUAAUUUAACAUAAAGGGUGAAAUGUUUGCUGACACUGAUAACAGCUUAUGUUUUCUCUGCCCUAUGUACCGACAUGAUGGAGAAGGAACAUCCUCUGUGUCAGCUGGACCCUCAGCAGAGAAUGAACUCAACAUCCUUUUUGUCCGGUACUCUAUGUCACACACUGUGCCAAAAAAACGUGUACAGACGCCACUACCAGACUUUUUCAGGCUAUACAGCUGCCAUCGGCCGUUGCAGUUGUAAAAACGAAAGGACACAGUACAGCUGACACAGACGAAGCAACAGGUAAUGCCUUAGCAGACGUGACAGCCAAGGCUGCAGCUGCAUCACAGCUCCCACCGCCGCAGGAAGUAUUAUCUGUGCCCCUACAGCUGCCACUUGUUACACUCCCAGACUAUUUAGACACAAAUGUUGAUUUAAAAUUCAUACAAGAGCAAGCCUCUGCAUAGAAUAAUGACUGUACCUUAGAAGACAGAGAUGGCUUAUACAAAAUCUUAAGGGUUUGAUUGCCCUCCCAUAUUCCCUGAUGCCAGUCCUUGCCCGACAUUUUCACUGUGUGAGUCAUGUCGGACAAAGAGGGGUAAUAGGGGCAAUAAAAUCAAGAUUUGUAAUUGAGAAAACAUCACAUGCAGUAAAAAGCAUAUUAGCAACCUGCCUAACAUGUGCAUGAACUAAUGUAGGAAAAUCAAAAGCAAAACAUCAGCAUUUACCACAACCAGAUUUUCCAUUUCAUACAUUACAAAUUGAUUUUACACAUAUGCCAGCACAAGGAAGCAUCAAGUACUUACUGGUAAUAGUGGAUCAAUUUAGUAAAUGAGUAGAAGCUUAUCCAACCUCAAAAGAAACUGCAGAAGUAGUCUGUCAAAAGUUGAGCAAUGAAAUAAUACCCAGAUUCGGAAUACCUCACCAAAUUAACAGUGAUAGAGGAUCUUCAUUCACAUGAGAAGUAAUUAAAAAAUGUGCUAAAACUUUAAUGACCUGGGUCAAAUUACUUACUCAAGUCCUGUGUGAGAUUAGAAUGACUCAAUCUGAAGUAACCAAAUUAUUUCCAUUUGAAAUAAGACUAUUUCCAAGACCAUGGUCAGCUUCCAGAGGGGCACCGCUAGUAGAAGGUGAUGUAUAUUGCAUUGUCCACUGAUGUUCACAACCUGGUAGAAAAACUGAAUAAUAACUAUCAGAAAGUUUGUCUCUCUCAGCUUUUCCCCUCCACAGUUCCACCAGUGGAGACAAGGAGACGCAUGUUGGAGAAGCCACUAAAACCAAGGACUCUCUGGGAGGCCGCGCGUGUUCCAGCCCCAGACUGUACUGGCAGUGACGAAGAACCAGCAUCCUCAUAGACGGACAACCUCAGUGGAUUCAUGCCAGCAGGGUUAAGACCAGCCCAAUCGGACCAUCUCAGGCGUCGGAUCAAGCAGACGACAUCUCCGGCGAGCCAGCGCCCGGAACUAGAGCAAAUAAACACACGGGUAGAUGACAUCUCCGGCGAGCCAGCGCCAGGAUCCAAUUUACACACACACACAAUCACUGAUUAAGACACAACGUCUGAAAGAACAACAACAAGGUACUCAAACAUCCAGCAGGAACAGAAAGCCAAAAGUACCACAUGAUGUCUAACCUGAUAAAGCCAGACUCAUUUCAUCCUGAUAAUGGAGAAAAUGAAAUGCCCAUUGUCAUCAUACGACGCUUAUUCAAUGUCUCUCGAACCUGGGACCAGGCCAGGAGACAACUGAAGAACUGUUUUUCUUAUAUACUUUCUUAUAUAUUUA